This 301-nucleotide ribosomal RNA is filed under the name uncultured bacterium. RNAcentral describes it as "partial 16S ribosomal RNA". It matches the Rfam family "Bacterial small subunit ribosomal RNA", at positions 509 to 807 of the family's 1533-position model. The record is from RNAcentral.
CAGUAGCCGCGGUAAAACGUAGGGUGCGAGCGUUAAUCGGAAUUACUGGGCGUAAAGCGUGCGUAGGCGGUUUGUUAAGUCUGCUGUGAAAUCCCCGGGCUCAACCUGGGAAUGGCAGUGGAUACUGGCAAGCUAGAGUGUGUCAGAGGAUGGUGGAAUUCCCGGUGUAGCGGUGAAAUGCGUAGAGAUCGGGAGGAACAUCAGUGGCGAAGGCGGCCAUCUGGGACAACACUGACGCUGAGGCACGAAAGCGUGGGGAGCAAACAGGAUUAGAUACCCCCGUAGUCCCUGUCUCUUAUAC